UGGACUGUGGUGUAAUGGUUGCACAAGGCACUCUGGAUGCUUUGGUUUGGGUUCGAAUCCUAGCAGUCCAA
This 71-nucleotide transfer RNA is filed under the name Bacteriophage sp. Its description in RNAcentral is "tRNA-Gln". It matches the Rfam family "tRNA". Rfam says of the family: Transfer RNA (tRNA) molecules are approximately 80 nucleotides in length. Their secondary structure includes four short double-helical elements and three loops (D, anti-codon, and T loops). The record is from RNAcentral.